Cuculus canorus (common cuckoo) is the source of this 4747-nucleotide RNA transcript. It is a transcript of the gene named rabphilin 3A like (without C2 domains), with no coding region annotated. The record is from RefSeq and is a predicted model, not a curated record. NCBI's taxonomy places the organism in Eukaryota, Metazoa, Chordata, Aves, Cuculiformes, Cuculidae. The transcript is spliced from 9 exons.
AGGCGCUUGCGGUUGCAUUCGGACAGGUUGUGAUGAAACCAGGCUCCCGGGAGGCUGCUGCCACAGCGGAUCCCUGGGCUGCAAGCAGCGCUUCUCCGACUGCCGCUAAUGGGCUGAUUUCAAAGUGUCAAGAGCAGGAGUUUCACAGUGAUUGUUAUUACUGAUGCUGUACAGCAGCCAGCAGGUCUCCAAGGCUUGCGCGUGGAUGAAAGGGAUGGUGACACAGGGCAAAAAGGCAAGGAAAGCAGCAACAGCAGUGACGGGAUGUAAAUAAUUCAUCCAGGCUGAAAAAUAUCACGGCCCAGUCCUGCAGUGGGAUUCCAAUGCAUCUGUGGUUCUGUGGAGAUCCCGACGAGCAAAUUAACAGCAGAAUGGAUACAGGCUCUGAGCUGUGUGCCUUUUCCUGUGCCUAUUGCUCCUGCCAGUACUGCUGGUUAAAUAAGGUGUGAUCCCUGCCUCUCCUCUCCAGCCUGGUGCUAUGGCCUACACGAUAUUUGGCAGCGGGAUGGGCCAGUGGGUGUGCCCCAACGACCGGCAGCUGGCACUGCGUGCCAAGCUCCAGACGGGCUGGUCGGUGCACACGUUCCAGACUGAGAAGCAGAGGAAGAUGCAGGCUUUGAGCCCACAGGAGCUUGAGGUCAUUCUAGAAGUCAUCCGCAAGGCAGAGAAAUUGGACAUCAUCGAGCAGCAGCGCAUUGGGCGCCUGGUGGAGCGGUUGGAGAACAUGAGAAAGAACGCGAUGGGCAAUGGCCUCUCCCAGUGUCUGCUCUGCGGUGAACUGCUCGGGCUGCUGGGAAGCACAUCUGUCUUCUGUCAGGAUUGCAAAAAGAAAGUUUGCACCAAGUGUGGAAUAGAAACCUUUGGAGCUCAGAAACGUCCUCUUUGGUUGUGCAAGAUCUGCAGCGAGCAGAGAGAGGUUUGGAAGAGAUCUGGUGCAUGGUUCUACAAAGGGCUGCCCAAGUACAUCACACCGUUGAAGAGCAGCAGCAAAUCCAGUGAGCUGCCCUCACCACCUUGGCAAAGCGAACCAGCCAUGCCAGAGGCAGAGAGCAUCGGCGCCAGCCGAUCCUUCACCUGGGCCAGAGAAAAAGUGGAUUCUAGCGACAGUGAGAGUGACUCUGAGUUCAGUUCCUCCAGCCUGGAUGACAAGCCUGUACCUGCAGGGUCAAAGGGCUCACAAGGCAGAAAGCAUGGAGCAGGACUGGGUGAGGAGUUGCUGUUCCCUGUGGCUGGAGGCUGAGAAGUGUAAAGUGCUUGAAUGUUUGGCUUUUGGUGCUGUGGUCUUUGGCUUAGCCUCUUGCCUGCCGUUUGCAGUGCAGCCUGCUAGCUUUAGCUCUGCCAGCUGAGGAUCUUGUCCUUUCUCACUCAGCAGUAUCAAUGAGUCAAAUUGGUGGUGGGUCACUCCAUUGCCUGCAGCCUUUCAGGGUCUGCCCUUGCUAUUGGGAGCUGCUCUCGGCUGCCUGGCAGCAAAUUUCUGGCCGUCUCCUCACUCUUGACUUUAUACCACUGGAAUCACCUGUGCCGUUUUAGGAACGGAGCAUGGGACUUGGGAUUUGACCCUGCUCCUGAGAGUGUCUGACUUGGGACAGGGAGGCUGCUGCGCUCUUGGGUCCUGGCCCAACGUCUGCACCCACUUCUCACUUCUAUAGCAGCAUCUCUUUUGUGUCCCUGCAGCAUCUAUUGGGGAACCUGGCCAGGCCAUGGCCCGGGUGCUGAGGAGCAUCCACUCUCCUACCCUCUCGGGGAGCCACAGCAGCCUGGGCAGCGAACAGGGGGCUGCCCUCAGCGCCACAGAGAGCUCCCAGAGCGACCAGCCAGCAGACGGGCGCGACAGUGAUGUUGGCAGCAGAGUCCCAGGCAAACGGUGUGUCCACACCAGAAAAAGAUGCUGAUGAUGGUGAAGAUGGAACUGUUCUACCUGGAUCCAAUGUUCAACCCUCGCCCACUCCUGUAGACCUCACUCCAGACAAUAACUGCUGCUGAUGGUGACUUUAUGACGCUGGCUUUUGCCACAGGCACUGGCAACACAGUGGCAUCUGGGAAAGCGUUUGCCUGUCCUCCCUGCCUCACUGACCUGGCUUAUGGUUUGGUCUGGUUUCCCCUCCUGUUGACUGACACACACUUCGGGGUGCUGCUCAGAGCAGGGUGCUGUGCGGUGCUGCCGUGGGGUCCAGGCCUGUGUUUGAAAGGUGCACACAAAGUACUCACUGGAACUGCAGAAAUGUGUGCUACCUCUGCUGUUCCCGGCUUGCCAAGCCCGGCCCUGGGUUCAGCUCCUGACCUUGCAGCCCUGGCUUUGCAGUCUUCAGGAGAAAGGAGGGUUCAGUCCCUGAAAUGGGGUGUGAGAAGACUGCGGCCCUUCUACUGCUUCUCAGCCCAGGGAUUUAUUUCCCUCUAUGAACCCCAAGGGUGAGAUCGGGGUUCUGAUUUGCAUUUGAUUCUCAUGGGCCCAGGAUGUCACCUCUGUAUUUUUUGUCAUCAUUGUUCUGGUUUGAGUUGGUGUGAGUUUGGUGGGGGUAUCGUGAAUCAACGGGGGAAAUUGUGCUCCCUUUCAUAUCCACUGCGGGCCUCUCUGUGUGUUGGUGCUUUCUGCUCAGGGAGAUGCUUCAGUUAGUAAAGAAACACUCGAGGAGGUUUGCUUGGAAUUUUUCAGUCCUGCUGGCUGUGCGCUGGCCUGUGUGUCCUGCGGUGAGGGGGAUGCUUUGGUGGUGGGGGCACGGGCAGUGAAUGUGUGCUGCAGCUCCUCAUGGGAGAACAUCCACUGCCCCGUGGCCCAGCUGGCUGCCAUUGCCUACCCAAAUCAGAUAAAAGCUUUCAAUACUUUAUCUUGUUAAGCUUUGCGGUUCUCCUCCUGCAUGCACACCUUGUCGGCUCUUGCAUGAGCUGGAGCCUUUGUUUUACCUUUUUCCUGCAAGCCUUGAGCAUCUGGCUGACUGUGAUGGUGUCAUCAUGAGUCAGGCUCCAGAAAGCUGCCUGCCCUGUUCCUGCUUAUUCUCUGGGAUGGACCAUUUUCCUCCAAGGCCUGAUGAGAAAAUCAAAUUACCUGACAUCUGUAGGGCAAUUAGAUCUUUGAAGGCCUGAACAAAACCCACACGAGUAGGAGUCUGUGGAUUUUUAUUAAAUGCUUUGGAUCUGACCUGUCUUCUGCCGAAGAAACAAAGUAUUCCAAAAAGUUCCCUCUGAAAUCAUAGAUUUAAAGGCAAUUUGUGCCUGUUAAUGUCAGCCUUUUCCCUUGGUUAUUACUCUUCUGUUCUCCUUUGCUGCGGGGCGCUUUGUGUGCAUGUAGUAUACGGUCUUACAAAUGGCUGCAGUAUGAAGAUAAAUGAGAUUGGGUGCUGGAACACUCUAACAGGAGAUCGGAAAUCAAUCUUUGACUUUCUUUUAAAUUAACAUGGUCCAACAGAGAACCAUUCCCCUACUGCUGUUCCAGUUAAUGCGCUAUGGCAAGUUGCUGGGAAAAUCCUUCCAGCUUUUCCUCCGUGACCUGUUUCUGCCCUUUGAAAAAUGAAAACAAAACCUUUGUAUGUUGUGGACUCUUUGAGAUGCUGUAAAGAGAAACCACUGAACGUGGGCUUCACACGUAGGUGUUGUAGAAAGCAAGGGGUGAGGUUGUUCUCCAUGGAACGAUGCUUUGUGUUUUCUAGACCUGGCCAUUGAGACUUGACCGGCUGCAUCUCUAAUCAACAUUACUAGCUGUUUCUGAAAAAGGAAAUCCAAAAGUCAGCUUUAGCUGAAAUGCCAGUAUGAUUUCAGAGCUGAAGUCAUGCUGUUCUUCUGAGAGCUGUAAGGUCUUCAAUUUCAGAUUGUUUUGCCACCAAAAAGUCCUGUCUUGCCUUGGAGCUUUUGACAGUCCUACUGAGGCUGUCUUGCUCGCGCUGUCAUUACCGCACUGCCUCAAACAGCCUGGCCUGCCAGCCUGAGUUAAUUCUAUUGAAGAAGGAAAAAAGGCAUUUAAAAAUUUACUCCGUUUUCUUUAAACCUGUUACUUUCUCAUCAAAAGCUCUGCACUGAGUUGGAAAGAGUUUUUAAAAUUGAGUAUGUAAUUUCUAACUUUUGCUGUGUUUCUCGUGUUUCAUUCCUGGGCAAACCAAGCAGGUCAGUCAUGUUUUCAUCCCCACCCUCUCUUCUCAGGGCCAUUUACCACUGUGGGUUACCGACUCUGCCCAGGAAUCCAACAGUCCUUCCUGGCUUGCUGUGCCACGUUGAGGCAUGAGUUUGAUUUUUAGCUGAGACUAGGUUUAUAAAACACUCACAAAGAAACAUUUGAGACUGCUUUUGUGCCAGUGAGGCAGGAAACCUUUUUUUUCUUACCUCUAUAUUUUACUUCCCUGGAGUAAUUCCACCUGAGUUUGAACCAGAACCAUUUGGUCUACUGUGGAAUGACUCCAGUUGGGUGGACAGAAGAAUGUAGCCUGGGAGAAUGUGAUCUCCCACAUAUGAAUGUGAUAGAGGAACAUCCAUAGCUCUGUGCACGUACUUUCUGUUAAAAGACCACUUUAUUCUCUGUUGUGUUUUGUAGCUUUAGUUGGAAUAUUAUCUGAAACCUGUACCAGUCAACUGCUAUUUUUGUUGGCUUAAGGGGGCAAGAAUGGCUCAGUGAAUAGUGCUCAGUCUGUUCUGGUCAUUUGUGUUUCUUUUAUUAUUUUGUUGUUCUUUUCUCCAUCCCUUACAACUUUUAUGUAGUGUUUUACUACUCGAAACAAUAAAGCUUUGGCUCAGUAACAAAUGCUUGCCAUUCUUGAAACAG